This 1460-nucleotide ribosomal RNA is filed under the name Pantoea sp. RNAcentral's name for it is "bacterial SSU rRNA". The record is from RNAcentral. Lineage: Bacteria; Pseudomonadati; Pseudomonadota; Gammaproteobacteria; Enterobacterales; Erwiniaceae.
CGGACGGGUGAGUAAUGUCUGGGAAACUGCCCGGUGGAGGGGGAUAACUACUGGAAACGGUAGCUAAUACCGCAUAACGUCUUCGGACCAAAGUGGGGGACCUUAGGRCCUCACGCCACCGGAUGUGCCCAGAUGGGAUUAGCUAGUAUUAGGUUUAACGGCUCACCUAGGCGACGAUUCCCUGGGGUGACGGGGGGGGGUCCAGCCACGCUGGAACGAUUCCCGCGUCUAGACUGCCCACUAAUGACUACAGUCGGCAACUUUGCAGUCGGUUGCAGACUGCGAUCUGAGACUACCAUGGGUAUCUAAUCCUGGAAGCUCCCCGGGAGGUAAAGUCCUUUCGUGCGGGGAGGAAGGCGGUGAGGUUAAUAACCUCGCCGCCUAAGGGCACCCGCAGAAGAAGCACCGGCUAACUCCGUGCCAGCAGCCGCGGUAAUAGGAAUGCAGCAUCCUUUAGUCUCAUUUACUGAGCGUAAAGAGCAGGGAGGAGGUCAGUGCAGGGAGAUGCGAACUCCCCGGGCUUACUCACUUAGACGACGAACUGCAUUUGAAACUGGCAGGCUUGAGUCUCGUAGAGGGGGGUAGAAUUCCAGGUGUAGCGGUGAAAUGCGUAGAGAUCUGGAGGAAUACCGGUGGCGAAGGCGGCCCCCUGGACGAAGACAUGACGCUCAGGUGCGAAAGCGUGGGGAGCAAAUCAGGAUUAGAUACCCUGGUAGUCCACGCCGUAAACGAUGUCGACUUUGGAGGUUGUUCCCUUGAGGAGUGGCUUCCGGAGCUAACGCGUUAGAAGUCGACCGCCACCUGGGGAGUACGGCCGCAAGGUUAAAACUCAAAUGAAUUGACGGGGGCCCAUCCAAGCGGUGGAGCAUGUGGUUUAAUUCGAUGCAACGCGAAGAACCUUACCUGGCCUUGACAUCCAGCGAACUUAGCAGAGAUGCUUUGGUGCCUUCGGGAACGSUGAGACAGGUGACUACCUAAUCCAUCGUCAGCUCGUGUUGUGAAAUGUUGGGUUAAGUCCCGCAACGAGCGCAACCCUUAUCCUUUGUUGCCAGCUUAAACGGGAACUCAAAGGAGACUGCCGGUGAUAAACCGGAGGAAGGUGGGGAUGACGUCAAGUCAUCAUGGCCCUUACGGGGAAGAAAGUGGGGUUCUAUACUGGCGCAUACAAAGAGAAGCGACCUCGCGAGAGCAAGCGGACCUCAUAAAGUGCGUCGUAGUCCGGAUCGGAGUCUGCAACGUAUGCCUUCUUUCGACUCCGUGAAGUCGGUGCAUGCUAAUCGCUAGUAAUCCUCCGGCAGAAUGCCACGGUGAAUACGUUCCCGGGCCUUGCCGACACCGCCCGUCACACCAUGGGAGUGGGUUGCAAAAGAAGUAGGUAACCAAUCCCUUGUGUGAGGCUAGUAACUUUGUGAUUCAUGACUGGGGUGAAGUCGUAACAAGGUAACCGUAGGGGAACCUGC